RNAcentral lists this ribosomal RNA (253 nucleotides) under uncultured bacterium. Its description in RNAcentral is "partial 16S ribosomal RNA". It matches the Rfam family "Bacterial small subunit ribosomal RNA", at positions 524 to 776 of the family's 1533-position model. The record is from RNAcentral.
GACGAACCGAGCGAACGUUGUUCGGAAUCACUGGGCUUAAAGGGCGCGUAGGCGGGUGUGAAAGUCUGCGGUGAAAUCCUCCAGCUUAACUGGAGAAGUGCCGUGGAUACUGCAUAUCUUGAGGAGGGUAGGGGCAUCUGGAACGUUGGGUGGAGCGGUGAAAUGCGUUGAUAUCCAACGGAACUCCGGUGGCGAAGGCGAGGUGCUGGACCCUUUCUGACGCUGAGGCGCGAAAGCCAGGGGAGCAAACGGG